GCUAAUGACGUCAUAGGCCCGGACUCGCGUGAGUGCGCGUGCGUUGGGGCCUCAGCCUUUAUCUCCACUCUGCGGAGAUUCACGCCUGGAAAACGCUCUUCUGAGAGGAUCUGUGGAGGUCAACCCAGGAGAGAGAAGACAGGACUGAAGCACUGAAAGGGUCCUGCCGUUAAGGGCGCAGGAUUGUAUAGAAUAUAUAAUAGCAGUAGCAGCUCUGUUUACGGAGCAUUAACCUUACGUGGAGUUAUUUCCUGCAUUUCCUCCUUUCGUCUUUACAAGGUAGCCGUUUGGCGUCGUGAGAGAUUGGGUCUCUCCACAUUGCCCCGGCUGCUCUCCAACCCCUGAGUUCAAGUGAUUCACCUCCCUUGGCCUCCCAAAGUACUGGGAUUACAGGCGUGAGCCACCGUGCCUGGCUGAGAAGAUGGAUUUAAGACAUAUUUUGGAGCGGAAAGUGACCAGAAGAGGUGUGCAGUUUCCAGGCCUGGCCCAUACAGACCUCCAACAGGUGCUCCCCUGUGCUGUUACUCCUUCUGCCAACUGGAAGCAGAUGGUGACCAGGCUCUGGAGAAGGCAAGGCCUGAAGAUGGGAGAUUCCUAAGUGGAGGAGAACUGUGCCUUACUGACCUAAAUAUCCACUCAGUAUUGUUAUGUGAGAAUAAAUAAACUUGUGUUGACCGUUUACUUAC
Molecule: long non-coding RNA, 686 nt
Filed under: Homo sapiens (human)
Lineage: Eukaryota; Metazoa; Chordata; Mammalia; Primates; Hominidae
Source: RNAcentral